Molecule: ribosomal RNA, 539 nt
Filed under: uncultured bacterium
Lineage: Bacteria
Description: partial 16S ribosomal RNA
Rfam family: Bacterial small subunit ribosomal RNA
Source: RNAcentral
UAGGGAAUCUUCCACAAUGGACGCAAGUCUGAUGGAGCAACGCCGCGUGAGUGAAGAAGGUCUUCGGAUCGUAAAGCUCUGUUGUUGGUGAAGAAGGAUAGAGGCAGUAACUGGUCUUUAUUUGACGGUAAUCAACCAGAAAGUCACGGCUAACUACGUGCCAGCAGCCGCGGUAAUACGUAGGUGGCAAGCGUUGUCCGGAUUUAUUGGGCGUAAAGCGAGCGCAGGCGGAAUGAUAAGUCUGAUGUGAAAGCCCACGGCUCAACCGUGGAACUGCGUCGGAAACUGUCAUUCUUGAGUGCAGAAGAGGAGAGUGGAACUCCAUGUGUAGCGGUGGAAUGCGUAGAUAUAUGGAAGAACACCAGUGGCGAAGGCGGCUCUCUGGUCUGCAACUGACGCUGAGGCUCGAAAGCAUGGGUAGCGAACAGGAUUAGAUACCCUGGUAGUCCAUGCCGUAAACGAUGAGCGCUAGGUGUUGGGGACUUUCCGGUUCUCAGUGCCGCAGCAAACGCAUUAAGCGCUCCGCCUGGGGAGUACGA